This 494-nucleotide ribosomal RNA is filed under the name uncultured bacterium. RNAcentral describes it as "partial 16S ribosomal RNA". It matches the Rfam family "Bacterial small subunit ribosomal RNA", at positions 28 to 507 of the family's 1533-position model. The record is from RNAcentral.
GACGAACGCUGGCGGCGCGCUUAACACAUGCCAGUCGAACGGAAAGGCCUGCUUUCCCUUGUGGAUUGCGGGUACUCGAGUGGCGAACGGGUGAGUAACACGUGAGUGAUCUGCCCCCAACUUGGGUAUAAGCCUGGGAAACUGGGUCUAAUUCCCGAUAGGACUGCAGGGUGGUGCCUGCGGUGGAAAACGAUUUUCUAGUGGUUGGGGAUGAGCUCGCGGCCUAUCAGCUUGUUGGUGGGGUAAUGGCCUACCAAGGCGGCGACGGGUAGCCGGCCUGAGAGGGGGGACGGCCACAUUGGGACUGAGAUACGGCCCAGACGCCUACGGGAGGCAGCAGUGGGGAAUAUUGCACAAUGGGCGGAAGCCUGAUGCAGCGACGCCGCGUGGGGGAUGACGGCCUUCGGGUUGUAAACUCCUUUCGACCGCGAGGAAGCCACCUGGUUGGAAGGGUGGUGACGGUAGUGGUAGAAGAAGCACCGGCUAACUACGUG